Molecule: ribosomal RNA, 294 nt
Filed under: uncultured bacterium
Lineage: Bacteria
Description: partial 16S ribosomal RNA
Rfam family: Bacterial small subunit ribosomal RNA
Source: RNAcentral
GGAUUAGAUACCCUGGUAGUCUAUGCAGUAAACGAUGAGUGCUAGGGAUUGGUAAUUUAUUUUUCAGUCCUGGAGCUAACGCGUUAAGCACUCCGCCUGAGUAUUACGGUCGCAAGACUAAAAUUUAAAGGAAUUGACGGGGGCCCGCACAAGCGGUGGAGCAUGCGGUUUAAUUCGAUACUACACGCAAAACCUUACCAACCCUUGACAUGUUUAACCAUCGGCAGCAGUGAUGCAGCCUUCAUUUAGUUGGGUUAAAUACAGGUGUUGCAUGGUUGUCGUCAGCUCGUGCCG